CUAAAUCCCCUCGUUUACACCGAGACGCUAUCUGUUUGACCCAGAUCAUUUUGAGCCUAAAAUCUAGCCCACACAAAUCUUAUGUAAACCCAAACCCACUGUUUUGUAAUAAAACAUUUUUAUAUUUUAGUACAGGAGAUCGAAAAAUUCCUAAGAGCUUCAGAUAAAGUACCGCAAGGGAAUGAUGAAAUAAAAAUGAAAUAAUUUUAAAGCCCUAAACAGCAAAGAUUAAUCCUUGUACCUUUUGCAUCAUGGUCUAGCUAGUCUUACCAAGCAAAAAGAAAUUUAAGUUUGCCACCCCGAAACUAAGUGAGCUACUUUUAAACAGCCCUAAGGGCCAACCCGUCUCUGUUGCAAAAGAGUGGGAAGAUUUUUAAGUAGAGGCGACAAACCUACCGAACUUAUAGAUAGCUGGUUGUUCAGGAAAAGAGUCUUAGCUCUACCUUAAGUUUUUUAGUUGCAUCCACAAUCUUUCUAGACUUAAGAGCUAUUCAAAUAAGGCACAGCUUAUUUGAAACAGGAUACAACCUCCAACACUGGGUAAAUGAUAGUGAUCCAAGUAAAGUAGGCCUAAGAGCAGCCACCUUUCAAAAAGCGUCAUAGCUUAACCUCUCUCACACCCCCAAUUCAUAAAAACACCCUCAACCCUUCACCAGUACUGAACUAUUUUAUAUUUUUAUAAAAAUAAUUAUGCUAGAACUAGUAACAAGAAAUUGCCCUUCUCCUAAUGCAAGUAUAAAUCUUAAUGACACCCCAAAUGAUAAUUAACGUAAAUACACCAAAUAUAGUAACAUAUAUCUAGAAAACCCUAUAAUCUCAAACGUUAACCUUACACCAGAGCAUUUCAGGAAAGAUUAAAAGAGAAAGAAGGAACUCGGCAAACUUCAGCCCCGCCUGUUUACCAAAAACAUCGCCUCUUGAUUUUUAUAAGAGGUCUAGCCUGCCCAGUGACAAAGUUCAACGGCCGCGGUAACCUAACCGUGCAAAGGUAGCAUAAUCACUUGUUCUCUAAAUAGGGACUUGUAUCAAUGGCAUCACGAGGGCUUCACUGUCUCCUUUCUCUAAUCAGUGAAACUGAUCUUCCCGUGAAGAAGCGGGAAUUUUAUUAUAAGACGAGAAGACCCCAUGGAGCUUUAAGCAAUGUAUUUACCUUAUUAUUUUAUCCACCUAGCAAAAUACCUAAAUACUAGCUUUAGGUUGGGGGGACCGCGGAGUAAAAACUAACCUCCACGACAAAUAGGGCCACGCCCUUAUCUACGAGCCACAACUCUAAGAAUCAAUAAACUGAUGUUUAAUGACCCAACAAUUUGAUUAACGAACCAAGUUACCCUGGGGAUAACAGCGCAAUCUACUUCAAGAGCCCCUAUCGACAAGUAGGUUUACGACCUCGAUGUUGGAUCAGGGUAUCCUAGUGGUGCAGCCGCUAC
RNAcentral lists this ribosomal RNA (1427 nucleotides) under Sylvirana cf. nigrovittata A161299. Its description in RNAcentral is "partial 16S ribosomal RNA". It matches the Rfam family "Bacterial large subunit ribosomal RNA", at positions 365 to 2565 of the family's 2925-position model. Lineage: Eukaryota; Metazoa; Chordata; Amphibia; Anura; Ranidae. The record is from RNAcentral.